Molecule: long non-coding RNA, 4428 nt
Filed under: Citrus x clementina
Lineage: Eukaryota; Viridiplantae; Streptophyta; Magnoliopsida; Sapindales; Rutaceae
Description: Citrus clementina (C. clementina) long non-coding RNA (CCLE_LNC003401)
Source: RNAcentral
AUAACCUCUACUCCCAAAAGCUCAAAUUUUGGGCUUUUACUAGUAGAGGUAAAUUAGCUUAUUUAAGCUAAAAAAACUCUACUAAAAAAAUAACCAAACACCAUAAAAAUUUUUAAAAAAUGCUUAUACGAUUAAAUAAGCACUUAUGGCUCUUAAAUAAGCCAUACCAAACAGGCACUAAUAAUAAGGCUACUCUCCGGCGGCAAGGAAAGAAAUAUUCUUCACCAAGAAAGGUAAUGAAGUAACUCCAUUAGAGUUAGUCCGGGUAAAGGGAAGAAUCCAAUCAGCAGCUAGUUUUGGGAUCAAGGCGUUUUCACUUUAACUAAGAGGUUUCGAAGAAUCUUUGUCUUUCCGCUUCAAAGAGAGAGUGGGGAUUGGAGCCCCCACAAAGCUUUGGGAAAUUAAUGCCUUUUCUCGGCCGCUCCAUUCAAAAGGACCCUUUCUCAAAAGGCCCAUCUACGGUGCACCAACGGGAAGGGGUAAAGUCAAGUUCAUUAUAGACGAGCAGUUUGUCACCAUCUUGUUUAAUGACCAAAAAAAAAAAAGGUGCAUAAGAAUUCUCUAAAAACAAGUCUGUUGUCGCAACCAUGGACUUAGCUAUGGUGCAACUGUGGUACCAUAUCACAGUUGCACGCCAUCGGAUCUAGCCAUUUGUACUCACCAUACUUAGAUCAAAUGGUUGAAAACAAUUAUGGGAUGCUACCACAAUUGCACCAUAGUUGAACCCCGCACUCAUUCCUUAAUGUUUCCGUUGAAAGUUAAUUAGAUCCAACAGCUAGAGACAUAACAACAAGAGUGAUUUAAUUGUAAAUUUUUUGAAAAUACAGUGAUUAAUUGAGUAAUUAGCUUAACUAUAAGGAUCGAAAGAACAUUUAUCUAAUUAAAUUAAUAUUUGUUUACGUGAACUUGUAAGCGACAAUGAUAGCUGCGAAGGGACAAACAAUUUGCAUAAAUUCUGGUGUGAAAUUUCACACAAUGUACGUUCUGAUUUCUAAAUAUGUGUUUAACUGUUGCAUGCCAGGUUUGUUUAAAUUUUAUGUUUCAUUAAAUAAAAUUAUUACUCUUUCCUUAAAAAUUAGUUAAAUUUAGGGUGGGUAAUGGGAUGGAAUAUGAAGGGAUUUGUCAAUCCCAGUUCAGUCCCAUUUAUGAAAAUGGAAUAAGAAAAAUCUUAUUUCCGUCCCUUUAUUUUUUUGAAGACAAAAAUUACUCUCGUCCUGUUAAAUAUCUCGUCCCAUCUCAUUAUCCUAAAUAGUCCCAAAUGUAAAUAAAUAAAUUUUGAUUUUUUUCUUUUAAAAAUCAUCAUAAUUCAAUAUAGCAAAAAUCUUGAAUAAAUAUAAAGUAGAAUAAUCAAAUAAUAAUUUCAUUUUGACUACAUGCAUGUUCGAAUAUAAUUUCAGACUCAAAACUUUUUAUCUGUUUGUUUGCUUCAAUUGCACAUUAACAUUAAGACUUACACUUUAAAAACUAUAGAUUUGGACAGUAAUCAACUUCAGCCAUGUUAAAAAUCUAAUAAUUUAAUAAUAUAAUAAUAAACCAAACCAAUAACUAGGGUUGGCAACGGGAUGAGGUGGGACGGGAUUUGCCAAUUUCAAUCAUGUCCCACAUAUGUAAAUGGGACAAAAAAGAUCUAAUUCCCUCCCCUUUAUUUUUUUUGGGAUAAAAAUAUAUUUCAAUCUCGUCCCCUGCAAGAUCCCAUCCCAAUAGAAGAAUUGACAUCCCUAGUUAGAUUCAAUAGCUAUCACCAAUGUAACGACAAGAGUGUAUUGAUUAAAAAAUUUCUGAAAACAAAUACACUAAUUGAAUAAUUAAUUAGCUUCAAUUAUAAGGGUUAGAAGAGUAUUUAUCCUAUAAAAUUAAGGGUGAUGAUAUUUCCACUCUACAAAAUUUUUAUAACCCAUCCCAUUUUUUAAAAAUUAUUAAAACAAGUUCACAUUAUUUUUUAAAGUUCAAAUCAAGAAGGAAUUCAAAAAUUAAUCAAUUAAAUCCAUAUUCAUUUGUUGAGACUAUUUUUUUUAUUAUAUUUGAUCAAUAAAUUUUUUAUGCAAAAAAAUUUACUUUAAUAAUUUUUUAUGCAAUUUUUUCUAUUUUAAUGACGUGUAAGUGGUAAUUUAUUUGAUAUUCAUUUAUUUAUUUAAGAUUAUGUUUGAUCAAUAAGGUUGCUUUAACAUAAAGUGAUAUGACUAUUUUACCCUCAUGAGGUAAAAGUGCCAAAGUAUCUAAAAAUUUACUUUAACUUUAAUUAUUUUUUAUACAAUUUUUUUUGUAUUUUAAUAAUGUAUAAGUAGUAAUUUGUUAAUAUGAUUAUUAAUAUUCCACUAAACUAACAAGAUAUAAUUAGGACAUGUGGAGUAUGGAAAAUUAUUAAAUUUUAUAUAAAAUAUGUUAGAUUAUAAAAUAUAAAACUAAAUUCCCAAACAAUAUAUAUAUAUAUAUAUAUAUAUUCCGACUUUGAAUGUAGAAGGUAUAGAAUUAUGUUCACUGUUUUUUACUUUUUCAGUAUGACAUCUUUACCAUAGUAAAGUCUUGUAACUCGGCACCACUCUCUAACUGAUAAGCGUAUCAAAUCCUCACUCAUUUGAAACCACAACUGAUCUUUUUUGUUACUUUUUCUAUUGGCCACUUGCCUAAGAAACAUGUUAUGCACAAUUAUAAUAUUGAAUUGAAAGUUUCAGCACUUCAUGAAAUGCCCAAAUAUUUCAUCCUUUAAUAGUUUCAACUGUCGUUUUGUUAAUUUUUCCCAAAUAACUUUUACAACCGUAUCUAAUUUACACAUAAUUGUGAUACGUCUGGAGAAGUGAUCACCAUAAGGUACCUUCAUCAUGCCCGGUUCAUUCGUCGGUCUGGGUGGAUUAUAAUUUUUUAUUUUCAAUUUCGCCAUUUAUCUAAUAUAAGUUACAUAAUUAAAUUGUUACAUUACAUGUCAAUAAAUCCACAACAUUAACAACAACACAAAAAAAAUACACACAUUUCACUACAUUACAAGACAAAAUAUAAUGCAUGAGCGUAUGUUUUUUUUAACUUUUAAUUCAUCCCUUUUUGAAAAUUAAAAGAUUUUCUUCUUAUAAAGAAGCAUGAUUGAGUAAUAGGUCAAGAGAAUAUUUGAUAGAUUUAACAGAGAAAACGAACUUGCAAUAGAUUGAACCGAAGAAAUAAUCCGAUUUCAGCUUUGUAUGACCCACGCGUGGCAUUUUCUUAUCAAAACUUGUCUCUGGCCUUGAUAGGCUUAAUGUGCAUCACGUCUGCGCCAUUACAAUGGAAUGUCAUUGUCAAAGAUGGGCCAUAAACACGUUUUUUGUCGAAAUCAUUUAAAUUAUAAACACGUUUUUUUUGUCGAAAUCAUUUAAAUUUUAUGUUAUAUUAGAUAAAAUUAUAAUUGUUUCACAACUUAUUAUAGCACACUUCCGCGCCACCCCCCGCGGGUGGUUCACUCACUGAAGGGAGAUUAAUAAUAAGGCUACUCUCUGGAGGCAAGGAAAGAAAUAUUGUUCACGGAGAAAGGUAGUAAAGUAACCUCCAUUCUCGAUUUCUAUUGUGACAGGGGGAGUAGUUGAGUCAAAAUCACACAAUUAGUGUUAGUCCGGAUAAAAGGAAGAACCCAAUCCGCAGCUAGUCUUGGGAUCAAGGCGUAUUCACUUUAAUCAAGAGGUUUCGAAGAAUCUAUGCCUUUCCGCUUCAAAGAAAGAGGUGGGGAGAACCAUCAGUUGGAGCCCCCAUAACGCUAUGGGAAAUUAAUGCCUUUUCUGGGCCGUAACAUUCGAAAGGGCCCUUUCUCAUGAGGCCCAUCUACGGUGCACCAAAGGGGAGGGGUAAAGUCAAAUUCAUUAUCGACGACCAGUUAGUCACCAUCUUGUUUAAUGACACAAAAAAUAGGGUGCAUAAGAAUUCUCUAAAGACACGUCUGUUGUCGCAUCCAUUCCUUAAUUUUUCCGUCGAAAAUUAAUUAGAUCCAACAGCUAGAGACAUAACGACAAGAGUGAUUUAAUUAUAAAAGUUUUGAAAAUACAGUGACUAAUUGAGUAAUUAGCUUAACUAUAAAGAUUGAAAGAAUAUUUAUCCAAUUAAAUUAAUAUUUGUUUGCGUGAACCUGUAAGCGACAAUGAUAGCGAUGAAGGGACAAACAAUUUGCACAAAUUCUGGUGCGAAAUUUCACACAAUCUACGUUUUGAUUUCUGAAUAUAUGUUUAACUGUUGCAUGUCAGGUUUGUUUAAAUUUUACGUUUUAUUAAAUAAAAUUUUUAUUCUUUACUUAAGGAUUAGUUAGAUUUAGGGUUGGUAAUGUGAUGAAAUAUGACGAGAUUUGUCAAUCUCAGUCUAGUCUUAUAUAUAAAAGUAGGAUAAAAAAAAUUCUCAUUUCCUUCCUUUUAUUUUUUUAAGAUAAAAAUUUAUCCGAGUUCCGUCCCGUUAAAUAUCUUGUCCCAUCUCAUUAUC